RNAcentral lists this long non-coding RNA (719 nucleotides) under Nicotiana benthamiana. RNAcentral's name for it is "long non-coding RNA (NBEN_LNC034379)". The record is from RNAcentral. Lineage: Eukaryota; Viridiplantae; Streptophyta; Magnoliopsida; Solanales; Solanaceae.
UUUAUUGUAAUCUUGUAUGCUUCUUCUACUUUAUUCUUGUGUGUUCUUCUUCUGUAUUUUCCCUUACUAUGUUCUUGAGUGUUUCUAAUUAAUUCCCAUCUACUGAGUCCUGGUUAAGUUCUUCCAAAACCUCUUAAACAUGAUUCUCCUACUGUUCUUAUCAAUUUUUCCCAUUAUGUUUCAUAUUAGAUUCUCCUGUUCUAUUUUCUAUGAGCUCUUCUACUGUGUUUUGCAUGUUACUCUGCUAUCAUGUUUCUCAUAAGUUUCUGUUGCUGAGAGGAACACGGUUGAUGUUUCAGAUCUUUCUGAGACCUAUGAACCUAUUUGGAGUCUCUUAAAUGAGUUUCAAAAUACUUGUUUUUCAUAUAAUUCCAACUUUUGCUAAACUAUUCUAAGAUUUGUUGCAUUGGAUCCUUUGUAUGCUACUAAAUUCUACUUCUCUUCAACAUUGCAAACCUAUGUGACAACCAUGCUUCUAUGGGGUAUUUUUCUACUGAUUUUACACAACAUCUUCUUUAAUGGUUGACAUGUUUGUAUGUUCUUUAUAUGUGAUGAACUCCUCUCUAAAAUGAGUUUCAAAUUUGUGACUUCCUUUAGAAUAGGUCUAAUUGAUUUUCUUUCCUUGUCUGUUGAUUUUUUGUGACUUGACUUAAGUUAAAACCCUUGUCAUCUUUUACGACUUGGUUCAUUCAUAUAAAAUAUCUUACCUUUGAUUUAAU